CCUACGGGCGGCAGCAGUCGAGAAUCAUUCACAAUGGGGGAAACCCUGAUGGUGCGACGCCGCGUGAGUGAAGAAGUAUUUCGGUACGUACAGCUCUAUCAGCAGGGAAGAAAAUGACGGUACCUGACUAAGAAGCCCCGGCUAACUACGUGCCAGCAGCCGCGGUAAUACGUAGGGGGCAAGCGUUAUCCGGAUUUACUGGGUGUAAAGGGAGCGUAGACGGCAGCGCAAGUCUGGAGUGAAAUCCCAUGGCUUAACCAUGGAACUGCUUUGGAAACUGUGCAGCUAGAGUGCAGGAGAGGUAAGCGGAAUUCCUAGUGUAGCGGUGAAAUGCGUAGAUAUUAGGAGGAACACCAGUGGCGAAGGCGGCUUACUGGACUGUAACUGACGUUGAGGCUCGAAAGCGUGGGGAGCAAACAGGAUUAGAUACCCCUGUAGUC
This 440-nucleotide ribosomal RNA is filed under the name uncultured bacterium. RNAcentral describes it as "partial 16S ribosomal RNA". It matches the Rfam family "Bacterial small subunit ribosomal RNA", at positions 338 to 795 of the family's 1533-position model. The record is from RNAcentral.